UCUGAGCAAGGUGCAGUCGCGAGUCCAUUUUCAUGAUAAACUUAGCUUUGAAGCUUUGCCACAAGCAAGCGAGGAAUUACUGUUUCCCGAGGUCAAUGUCCGUAUAACACGGUCCUUAAAACGGCGACUGAGACAACCUGCGAUUACAGAUGCAAAACGAUCAAGAAGACUUUCAAAACCAGAAGGCCAAAGUGCGAAAUCUGUUACCUAUCUCAGCUCUCCCCUUGAAGAGGGCCCAAGUACGGAACCAAAUUCCAACCCUUCGGCUUCUCACCAUGAGAACUUAACUUUGGAACCAAUUUCCGAUCCCGCGACACCCCUCCAAGAGGCGGUGAAUGAGUUCUAUCUUAGAGGACGACAUCCUUACUCGAGUAGUGCAAAGGUUUCUAGGUGCUCAAAUUGCAAGCGUCCAUGCUCACCUCAGGCAAUGGUCGACUAUAAAACCAGUGUUGUGAGCUCAAAAGCAACUACUGAGCUCGUGGUGGAGAGAGCACUGAAGAUGGAGCAGGAAGAUUGUUCACCGUUGGAAUUUCAGAACCCUGCAAAAACCUGUGGGACUACUUCAUUG
Molecule: long non-coding RNA, 568 nt
Filed under: Physcomitrium patens
Lineage: Eukaryota; Viridiplantae; Streptophyta; Bryopsida; Funariales; Funariaceae
Description: long non-coding RNA (PPAT_LNC006284)
Source: RNAcentral